CCUACGGGUGGCUGCAGUGAGGAAUAUUGGUCAAUGGACGCAAGUCUGAACCAGCCAUGCCGCGUGCAGGAAGACGGCUCUAUGAGUUGUAAACUGCUUUUGUACGAGGGUAAACGCAGAUACGCGUAUCUGUCUGAAAGUAUCGUACGAAUAAGGAUCGGCUAACUCCGUGCCAGCAGCCGCGGUAAUACGGAGGAUUCAAGCGUUAUCCGGAUUUAUUGGGUUUAAAGGGUGCGUAGGCGGUCGGAUAGGUUAGAGGUGAAAUCCCGAGGCUCACCUCCGGAGUUGCCUCUGGUACUGUGCGGCUAGAGAGUAGUGGCGGUGGGCGGAAUGGAUGGGGGAGCGGUGAAAUGCUUAGAGAUCAUACAGAACACCGAUUGCGAAGGCAGCUGACCAAGCUACGGCGGACGUUGAGGCACGAAGGCGUGGGGAGCAAACAGGAUUAGAUACCCGAGGAGUG
RNAcentral lists this ribosomal RNA (460 nucleotides) under uncultured bacterium. RNAcentral describes it as "partial 16S ribosomal RNA". It matches the Rfam family "Bacterial small subunit ribosomal RNA", at positions 338 to 795 of the family's 1533-position model. The record is from RNAcentral.